UACAGAGGUCCCAAGCGUUGUUCGGAUUCACUGGGCGUAAAGGGUGCGCAGGUGGGUUUGCAAGUUUGAUGUGAAAGCCCCGGGCUUAACCCGGGAAUGGCAUUGAAUACUGCAGAUCUGGAGGAUUGGAGGGGGGACUGGAAUUCUUGGUGUAGCAGUGAAAUGCGUAGAUAUCAAGAGGAACACCAGUGGCGAAGGCGAGUCCCUGGACAAUAACUGACACUGAGGCACGAAAGCUAGGGGAGCAAACAGG
This 253-nucleotide ribosomal RNA is filed under the name uncultured bacterium. Its description in RNAcentral is "partial 16S ribosomal RNA". It matches the Rfam family "Bacterial small subunit ribosomal RNA", at positions 524 to 776 of the family's 1533-position model. The record is from RNAcentral.